CGGUGGAUGAUGUGGUUUAAUUCGAUGCAACGCGAAAAACCUUACCCACCUUUGACAUGUACGGAAUUUUCCAGAGAUGGAUUAGUGCUCGAAAGA
This 96-nucleotide ribosomal RNA is filed under the name uncultured bacterium. RNAcentral's name for it is "partial 16S ribosomal RNA". It matches the Rfam family "Bacterial small subunit ribosomal RNA", at positions 930 to 1025 of the family's 1533-position model. The record is from RNAcentral.